Molecule: long non-coding RNA, 428 nt
Organism: Cyphomyrmex costatus
Lineage: Eukaryota; Metazoa; Arthropoda; Insecta; Hymenoptera; Formicidae
Exons: 3
Source: RefSeq, a predicted model, not a curated record
UUCCAAAAUAUCGAUACCUGUUCGCCGAAAAAAGGGUGUUUGACUGAUAUGAGAGGCAGAAAAGAUUGGUGGGUAGGAACGAGAGAAAAGCGAGAAAGGAUAAAUCACAUCGAUGUGAAUAAAUUCAGAUUGCCCGUGUAUUCUAUUUCACACUGAAUGGAAAAACGUAGAUAUAGAUUUUUCGAUUCCGGAUUUAAAUAAUUUGGGACUCGAUUCGAUACAAAGUCUCCAUGUUAUAAAAGCAAGGUAAAGAGAGAAGACGAAACAUUACAAAGAGAGAGAAUGAGUGAGUGAGAGAGAGAGAGAGAAACGGAUGCGAAGGCGGACAUGGAAGGCUCGAGAUUGGUCGAGCCUCGGGUCCAGCCAUGCCGUUUGCGGACAAUCACUGGACCCUAUCACAACUCAGGUGUAACCGCAUAGCCAUAAAC